This 74-nucleotide transfer RNA is filed under the name Nitrososphaerales archaeon. RNAcentral's name for it is "tRNA-Phe". It matches the Rfam family "tRNA". From Rfam's summary of the family: Transfer RNA (tRNA) molecules are approximately 80 nucleotides in length. Their secondary structure includes four short double-helical elements and three loops (D, anti-codon, and T loops). Lineage: Archaea; Thermoproteati; Nitrososphaerota; Nitrososphaeria; Nitrososphaerales. The record is from RNAcentral.
GCCGAGGUAGCUCAGCCUGGGAGAGCACCCCGCUGAAGCCGGGGCUGUCGCAGGUUCAAGUCCUGCCCUCGGCA